This 444-nucleotide ribosomal RNA is filed under the name uncultured bacterium. RNAcentral's name for it is "bacterial SSU rRNA". It matches the Rfam family "Bacterial small subunit ribosomal RNA", at positions 338 to 795 of the family's 1533-position model. The record is from RNAcentral.
CCUACGGGGUGCACCAGUGUGGAAUCUUGGACAAUGAGCGAAAGCCCGAUCCAGCAAUAUCGCGUGAGUGAAGAAAGGCAAUGCCGCUUGUAAAGCUCUUUCGUCGAGUGCGCGAUCAUGACAGGACUCGAGGAAGAAGCCCCGGCUAACUUCGUGCCAGCAGCCGCGGUAAUACGAAGGGGGCUAGCGUUGUUCGGAAUUACUGGGCGUAGAGCGCGCGUAGGCGGAUAGAUAAGUCAGAGGUGAAAUCCCGGGGCUCAACCCCGGAAUUGCCUUUGAUACUGUUUAUCUUGAGUGCAGAAGAGGUAAGUGGAAUUCCGAGUGUAGAGGUGAAAUUCGUAGAUAUUCGGAGGAACACCAGUGGCGAAGGCGGCUUACUGGUCUGCAACUGACGCUGAGGCGCGAAAGCGUGGGGAGCAAACAGGAUUAGAUACCCCCGUAGUC